UUGCAUGUUUCAAAAUUGUUUCAUUUUUCUCCAAAAUAUCAAUUUGUCCUUUUGAAAUUUUUUGUUAGAUUUAUGUUAUUCUGAUUUCAACUUCGUGACGAUUCUUCUAUUUGUCAUGAGUGGUUUAAUCUACAUGUUUAUAAUUAUAGCAUAUAAAGCCACAUAAUUCAAGAUGGGCCUCGGUGUAUGAUUCCUUUGUACUUUUUUGGAAAAUAAAGGCUGUAAUGGCAGAAAUCUAGAUGCCUGAGUUGAGAAUGUUUAGACAUCACCAAACAUUAGCUUUUCAGAAAAGUAUCCAUGAUAAAUUAGACACUGAAUUUGGCACAUUUUUCUGAUUUCAGUUCUUUUGGGGAAACUUAUUUUUUCAUUCCUGGCUUAAGAAUUAUAUUUGAUGAUGCAAAGACAAAUCCAAAAUUUUAAAUUAUAAUCCAAAACUUUAGAUAAAUUAGGGAAUCUGUGUAUGUAUUUUACAACCAUAUAACCAUAUAUUGCCAUACAUAUGUCAUGAAGGUAUAUUGUAAAAGAUAAUUUGGCCAACUCUAUUGGACCAACUACUCUUAAACUCUCUAAGAACAAUUGGUUUAAGAUAUUGCCUGGAAUGACUGUUUUGCUUAUGGUCUCAUUCUUUCAUGGUCAAGAUGACAGUGUUCUAGAAAUGGUUAUUUCAUUUCUAGAAUGUCAGUCAAUCAGCUUUAUAUGACCCUGAGCAGUUAUCAUCUACCAUCCCAAACACAUACGCACUCUCUCUCUCUCUCUCUCUCACACACACACAUACACACACACACACACACACACACACACACACACACACAUAAGCACAGAGAAUUUUCAGAAAGAUUCAUGGUAGAAGAUCUGAGAUUAGAACCCAGGAACUCCUAAGAUUCCCUGGUUUUGUAUCAAAGGUCAGUAACAAGGCAUGAAAUCAAUGAAGUCAACAACUCAGGGAAAUAUUCUUGAGGAAAUGCAUAAUGGAAGUGGUGGUGUAACUACCUCAAAUCAAUAUUUUUACUGAAACUGAUCCAUUUGAUCAGGUAAGGCAAACAUGCCCACCUCUGAUUGGAUGGUAAUUCACUGAUCAUUAUCCUGAUUUCAGUGGAUCUAUGCCAUACUCAUGACCUGUAUUUUUCAGUGAACUGAUUGUCUUAUUGCACUACACAGAUAUAUAAUCAGGCCAGUUUGUGUGUAACUCCUUGUGACCCUUAUCAUCAUACUUUUGCUGUUUUGGUCUUUCAAAUGUAUUCACUUUUCUUUACCAUUUUGAAGCCAUCACUCUUUCACCACUAACAGCUAACCUUGGUAAUUUCUCACCAUGCACUGUUGUCUCACUAAAUCCUCACAGUCAUUCUAUGGCAUAGGUAAUAUGAUUGUCAUUGACAUUAUGUACAUAAGGGAGCCAAGGUUCAGAGGGAUUGUGUUAAUUGUUCAGGGUCACACAGCUAAUUUCUAGUAAAGCCAGGAAUCAACUCACAUCUGUAUGAUUCCAUGAUCUAUUCCCUUAGCUGUGAUGUAUGUGUUCUGUCACAAAUGAUCACUUCUAAAAUCAGUAUCAGUUCACAGAUAUUUGUGACUCUCUCAAGAGAACUGGGGAAACUUCUGUAAAGUUAGUUAAUGGCUUUUUAAUGUUAUGUGGUAGUUGUGGUGAAGCAAUGAUCAAUUCCAGUUAAAUUAGCUUAAAAUGACGGGAGCAAACACAUAUCUUUGAUGAUAAGGCUGGGAUGGAGGUUAAUGUCUCAUCAGUUUUGGGUCUCUCUUAGAUGUUUGACCUUAUCCUAACAACUUAAGCUUUAGGUAAAGGCUGCAUUUGGUGCUCUAAUCCCUUCCUCUCAGAUACAGGUGUCCUUCAGUGCCCAAAUGCAAUUCAAUCCAAGACAUACCUUCUCCCAAUAGUCUCUGGAGAAUGUUGUUCCUACUUAGACUCCUGCAUAGAUCUUAACUUGUACACCUGCCAGUGGUGUCCAUACAUGAGCUAUCAUUUGACCAUGCAGCCACACCUACAGACCCAUUUCUAAGUUCACAAUUGUCUCUGAUGCAGCCUGUAAUUUCCCCACUAGUAUGCCACUCUGUGAACUGGGUUGUAGGAAUAAACCAGACAUUGACACAUCAUUCUAUGUAGCAUUUUCUUCAAAUUAGAGUUUCACUCUAAACAAUCUUUGGUUAAGGGAAGACUUUGUUAUCUACUCCCUAGUCUCUUUGAGAAAAAAAAAGCCUGGUCCCCUUAAGCUCUUGCCUCAUUUUUGCCUUUCAGGUAUUAUUUGUGCUCUGGAUUAAAUGUGAAUUUUUAGUUAGGUACAUAGGAAAUAUCUACCUAAAAUACUUGUGAUUUCCACCAAGUUUGUAACAGCAAUCUAAAAGCUAACACAUUCAUUAAAUGAUUAAAUUGUUAAAUUGGUAGAAAGUGGUACCAAAUCCCAUCAGGGGAGGUUUGAAAUCUAAAUGCCUUUCAGUAUGUAUCAAACAUGCACAUCCAUGAGAAAAUAGUAUGAUAAAAAAAAGUGGGUUGUGACCUUAUUGGAUUCAUAUUGCCUUAUAGAAUAUGCAAAUUAAGACAAAUUUCUAGAUAUUUAUAAUAAGCAGCAAUAUAAGCAAGAAAACAAAACAGGGAGUUUCAGCAUUUAGCUACUGCAAAUUUGCCGGAAAAUAACAAGUGGCAAAGUAUCUUAAGAUCUCAGGAAAUCUGUUGUAUGGAGCUGAGAAGAAGGAAUGAGUUUAGAUUUUUCUUUAAGUUGUUGAAGAAGGCAUGGGAUUAUCUUGUGGCUGAUGGUCUUCCCUUAAUUCAAUGAAUAAAAAAAAAAGGAUGUUUUAGAAAAACUGAAAACUGCAGAAGCAAGAUAAGAGGAAAAAAGAAUUUGAAAGAUCAUGGUGAAAUGAAAAAAAGUGGAAUGUAGUCAGUUGGUAAAUUUAGUCUAAUUAGAGAUGGGUUAAAGUAAUCAGAAGGUAAGGAACCCAAUUAUGAGAUAGGCUUGAUAACAUAGAUGGCUUAAUACAAUAGAAAGAUAUAAAUAGAAUGCUUUUAUAUAAAUUCUGGAGGAAUUUAAAAAUGAGUGUUUAAGAUAACUUAGAAGGAAAGAUAUUAAUAUAAACUUGAUAUUUUAGUCUUGAAGAAAAAUGAAAAAGCUGAUUUUGUGUAAUGAGUGGAGGAAUACCAGCUCUUUCUCAGAUUUUCACUGUUUUAUUAGUAUUUUUGGAUUAUAGAAGUUGAUGGAGGAAGGAAUUUAUUAAAAAAUAAACACAAAAUAAAGUGAAUCAUAUGGUUUUGGCCAAAUUGUUCCUUUUCCUUACUUUAUAAAGAGCAUUUCUCAGAGUCAUUUGAAAUAAAGCUUGAUAGGUUUUUUUUGUUGUUGUUGUUAAAGUUAGUCGGUGGUUGAAAAACCUUGUUAUAGGUUGUUAGGCAUUCUUUUACUAAUAAUUUUUAAUGCAUGUCAUGUGUAAAAGACUGCUUAAGUGUCAAUGCAGAAACUAGCAGGAAUUGAAAAUUAAGCUUAUCAGUUUUCUGUGAUAGAAUGAUGGUUUGGGAGCUACUCAAGAAUGGAAUGUUUGUUAGUAACUGAAGAUUUUUCUGUCUUCUUCCUUGUGUUCUCAGAGCCACACUUUCAUUUUCCUUUUGUCAAGAAAGCCAGGCAUUCUGUGGCAUGCUAAAUCGAGAAGGGAUUGGCCCCAACCGCAGCUCUGUUGCUUGGUUGUUGCAUUGCCCUAAGAGACCCACAAGAAGAAUCUCACAAAAUCCAGUGCCCUCCCAUAGUCUAGCUUCCCCAUGAAAUAGCUCCAUUCAUAUUGCAUUAAAUUUUUCUCAGUGUCUUCUGGUUUCACGGGUUCUCACUGUGUGAGAGAGUCACUCUACCGUGGUGGUAAGCGGUGUGGCCAGAAUCUGCCGUAGACCAUCAGUAUCAGUUUUUCAGAUCCUGGAACUUUCACUAAGAAACUGUGGUUCUUAUUUUAAAAACAAAACAAACCCAAAAUCUACAAGCAAGAAAACACCGCAAAACCAAUCAAAACACCAACACUUUUCUUAACCUUAAUAACUUGCUCUUUUUCCAUGCAUAUCUAGUUCUUUAAAAAAAAAUACCUAAAAAGUUGAAAUUGGUUUACUACAUAUUCCUGUUGGCCCAGGACAUAGUGAUUGACAUUUUUUUUCUUUUAAAAAAUGGAUUUCUAUUUAAAAAAUAGAUUGCUUUUACUGUGACAACUUUGACAGUCUUUCAAAGAGGGAGAGAAAUGUAAAUUCAAAAGGAUAAUGUGUCUUUUUUUUUUUUUUUUUUUUUACUUUAAUCCUGUUUUGUGAAGCAUUAGCUAGGUUAGCAUUGCCUCAUAUUAAUCAGUUACCAUAAAGCCCAUUAGGAUGCCUUGAUUGAUGCCCUUGGUCUCCCUUGACCUCAGAUCUUGAUUGAAGCAUCUUAAAGGCCUGUAUGCAUGUGGCACCACAUCCAACAUUGUGAUUGCUCACUCAGUAGCUCUAAGCACUUACUCUUCAAUAAAUCCUUGGAUGCAAUGGGGAUGGAGAAUGAACUUUUUAAUUACAUGUCUGUUAUUUUCUAUCACCAGGAGCGAAAUUAAUGGGAAAUUAGUUCACAGGUUUAUUAUGCAUUUUCCCUCUUUAAGAAGAGGGACUCUUUUUCUGACAGUCCUUCCACUUUUAUAAUUUUACCAUUUUAUUUUAUUGGCCUCAGUACUGAAAUUCCUUCUUUCUCGUUCCAACUACAUCAGAAACAUUCAAUAGACUUAGCAGCCUAUGGAAGUCUGACAAUUACUUCCUCACGACAGCCUUGUUUCAAGAUUAGGUCCAGAAUAAAUAAAAGUUUUUCAUUUUCCUGGUGGCAUCUGUUAGUUUUCAACAUUGCCCAGAGAAAGAGUUACUAUGGAUUACAAAAAAAAAAAAAAAUGAACUACUUUUUCUUCCAUUUGGGCAGAAAUAGACAUAUAAAAAGCCAUGAGUGCUUCUUUCAUAAACCAUAUUUUAUGUGCAUUUGAAAAAUCAACCAGUAAGAGAGAGAGAUGAUGUUGGUUGUGGAAAAGUCAUAGUGGAUAAGCUCAAUUUAUUCAGUCUUCUGGGAUAAUGUAAGAGCAAAACAUGGAAACAGGAAUACAGUGUUCAUCAUAGUUAUAACUCAUUCAUUGAAAGCAUUUUGAAAACAGUGCUAUCUAAAUUUUGGAUGACAAAUAAUAAAGCAUAGUUAACGCUUCUCAUUGGUUGUGAACAUUCAAAUACAUCCAAGUGUUUAAUCAUGGCCAUUCAUCAUUCUGUAAAUCAAAAUUAGGUCUUUGAAUUCUCCUUUCCUAUUCUGAGAUCAAGGCAUAUUUGGCUUCAUAUAAAAUCUUAUGCAUAAUUUUGAAUUUCUUGGACAAUCAAGUAAUAAUACAUAAUUAUUUAAAAAACUUUUCAGAAGCAGAAACUUCAGGUUUCACGUACUUCUUAUUAAUCCUAAGGCCUAGCAAAGGGCACAGCUGUAGUUCACCUCAAUUAUACACUAUAAAUAUUUAGAUUAGAGACAGGAAAUAAGUUUUGGGAGUUGCAGGAGUAGAAUCAGAUGUAGGACCUAUUAUUGUAGAAUAGAGAUGGAGAUGGGGUUUACGGUUUUGUAUGUCACUGGUAGAGCAAUAAAAUUAGUGUUAAAAACAAGGAGUGGUGUGGACUUGGAUUGUCAUAGGAAGAGAAGCUGAGAAGAACAAGAAUGCUCACAUUUCUUUUGUGAAAAGGGUCUGAAUGCCUAUGAAAGACAGCAGGUACUGAGACUUGCCUGUCACCACUUGGCAGCAAAGCAAGGAAAUAGGACAGUAUUAAAUUUGUGAAGUUGUUGAUCAGAAAACUAGUUUAGUGUACAGAGGAGUCUGUGUGUUUUAAAAUAUUCCCCAAGUGGUAGAAUAUUACUGACAUUUGAAACAAUAGCACAGUCUACCUAUGUUAAAAUGGUUGUUUCCAUUUUUAAAUUAUAUUCUUUAAAUAAAAGUCUUGCUCUCUUGUUAAGCUAGAGCUUUUUGCUUUUCAUUUUGCUUUUCCCUCUGCUCCUUGAUCCGUCAAUGAAAAUGUGAUUUCCUGUUGGAGUCUUUGAUAAAUAUGCAAGGCUAUUUUCAUUGCAUCAGAAAGCUGAAAGGGACCUUGGCUGGUCAUUUGUGUAAUUGAAUCAUGCCUGUGUUUUGGGCACAAUUUUCAUUUGAUGAAAGAAACACAAGAUUUCCCAUGAUGUUUUGCAUGUCUACAAAUUCAGGUGAACAAGUCUGUCCUUGGGGUCUGGUUCAGUGAAUUAACUAGCAUGAUAUUUGCUUAACAAAGGCAUGCCAUAAAUAAGAGUCUUAAUAGUCAAUUGGCAUGUUCCUUCAUGUUAAUGCUGUUUUUGAAAUUUAAAGUUACAGUUGAAAUAAAUUGGUAUCUGCAUGUCUGGACUUCUGAAAAAUAAGCAGAUUUGAGGCGUAGUAUGUUAUAGCAGAAAUGUCUUUUAAUUCAAUUGUUGUGGUACGUAGUAGAUGUACAUAGGCAAAAACCACAAUUACUUUUUCAUAAACCUAAUAUUUACAGGGUAGAUGAGAUGUAUUGAUAUAGGUAUGCAAUGCGUUAUAAUCGUAUCAUGGAAAAUGAGGUCUCCAUCCUUUCUACCAUUUAUGCUUUGAUUAUAAACAAUUCAAUUAUACCUUUUUAGUUAUUUUUAAAAUAUAAUUAAAUUAUUAUUGACUAUAGUCAUUCUGUUGUGCUAUCAAAUACUAGGUUUUAUUCAUUCUUUCUAGCUAUUUUUCGUACCCAUUGAUUAUCCCCACCUUCCCCUACCCCAACCCUCCCACCAUCCUUCCCAGCCUUUGGUAACUAUCCGUUUCUCUAUCUCCAUGUCUUUUAAUUGAUUUUACUAAAGUGUCUCCCUCAUUUCUACAUACAUGUGACUCACUGGGGAAUAAACAAGGAAAUCCUUUGUGAUAAAUCAGAUGUCAUUCAGAGACACAGAGCUUUUUAUAUGUUUCCCCUUUCUUUAAAAUCAUCAUUGCUCUUCUAGAUCAAUAU
Molecule: long non-coding RNA, 6982 nt
Organism: Sapajus apella (tufted capuchin)
Lineage: Eukaryota; Metazoa; Chordata; Mammalia; Primates; Cebidae
Exons: 2
Source: RefSeq, a predicted model, not a curated record